Molecule: unclassified non-coding RNA, 598 nt
Filed under: Hevea brasiliensis (rubber tree)
Lineage: Eukaryota; Viridiplantae; Streptophyta; Magnoliopsida; Malpighiales; Euphorbiaceae
Source: RNAcentral
AAUCCUCUUUAUAGCUUAAUGUUAGAAGAAUAAGUCUAAUGUUAAUGACUCGCAUAUUUUUUGAUAUACAGGUUUAAAAUUGUUCAAUUCUUCAAAUCUUUUGCAUGAUAUAAAUUCUUCUUCCCACCAAACCUGCUCCUGAUUCCUGAAUAUUAGUCCUUAGAUUGAAGAUAAGUAACAGGAAUGAAAUAUGCUUGUUGAAGAUACUUGUUAAUAAUGAUUAAAUUUUUAUGAGGUGAAUAAACAAGAAAAGUCAAAGUAGGGGGAAGGUGAUCUGGUGAACAUUCUAUUCUGGAAGUUUUAGGCGCAAUGCCUGUUUGCUAAGUUUCAUAAUGGCUUCCUGUAGGAAAACAUGCCCCUUGAGGAAGUUUUUGACCAGAUUAAAUGUAGGAGAGAAGGUUUGAGCUCUGAUGAAGUUCAAGAGCGGCUGGAUUUGUUUGGAUACAAUAAACUUGAAGAGAAAAAGGUUAGCAAGGAGGGGUCCAUUGUGCAUCAUGUUCACUUUCUUUAUUGCUUUUUUAUAUUUCUGUACCUGAUUGAUUCAUUUACUCUUUCUUCAAUAGGAAAAUAAAAUAUUAAAGUUUUUGGGUUUUAUGUG